CCCCUAGACGUUCUGGGCUGCACGCGCGCUACAAUAAUACGCACAGCGAGUAUCACCGAGCUCGAAAGGGCAAGGUAAACAAUAGAAAAGGUACUGUAAUGGUUAUAGAUCCUUGUAAUUAUUGAUCUUCAACGAGGAAUUCCUAGUAAGUAUGUGUCAUCAUCACGCACUGAUUACGUCCCUGCCCGUUGUACACACCGCCCGUCGCUCCUACCGAUUGGGUGAGCCGAUGAAACUCUCGGAUGUAGGCUAUUCAUAGCCCGCAGAAGAGAUUUGAAUCGUAGCGCUUAGAGGAAGGAGAAGUCGUAACA
This 311-nucleotide ribosomal RNA is filed under the name uncultured eukaryote. Its description in RNAcentral is "partial 18S ribosomal RNA". It matches the Rfam family "Eukaryotic small subunit ribosomal RNA", at positions 1470 to 1796 of the family's 1831-position model. The record is from RNAcentral.